RNAcentral lists this ribosomal RNA (498 nucleotides) under uncultured bacterium. RNAcentral's name for it is "partial 16S ribosomal RNA". It matches the Rfam family "Bacterial small subunit ribosomal RNA", at positions 28 to 507 of the family's 1533-position model. The record is from RNAcentral.
GACGAACGCUGGCGGCGUGCCUAAUACAUGCAAGUCGAGCGGACGGAUGUGAGCUUGCUCCCAGACCGUCAGCGGCGGACGGGUGAGUAACACGUGGGCAACCUGCCUGUAAGACUGGGAUAACUCCGGGAAACCGGGGCUAAUACCGGAUAACUCUUUCCCUCACAUGAGGGAAAGCUGAAAGAUGGCAUCUCGCUAUCACUUACAGAUGGGCCCGCGGCGCAUUAGCUAGUUGGUGAGGUAACGGCUCACCAAGGCGACGAUGCGUAGCCGACCUGAGAGGGUGAUCGGCCACACUGGGACUGAGACACGGCCCAGACUCCUACGGGAGGCAGCAGUAGGGAAUCUUCCGCAAUGGACGAAAGUCUGACGGAGCAACGCCGCGUGAGUGAUGAAGGUUUUCGGAUCGUAAAACUCUGUUGUCAGGGAAGAACAAGUACCGGAGUAACUGCCGGUACCUUGACGGUACCUGACCAGAAAGCCACGGCUAACUACGUG